UACGUAGGGUGCGAGCGUUGUCCGGAAUUACUGGGCGUAAAGAGCUCGUAGGUGGUUUGUCGCGUUGUUCGUGAAAACUCACAACUCAAUUGUGGGCGUGCGGGCGAUACGGGCAGACUGGAGUACUGCAGGGGAGACUGGAAUUCCUGGUGUAGCGGUGAAAUGCGCAGAUAUCAGGAGGAACACCGGUGGCGAAGGCGGCGACCUGGUCCUUGACUGACGCUGAGGCGCGAAAGCGUGGGGAGCAAACAGG
RNAcentral lists this ribosomal RNA (253 nucleotides) under uncultured bacterium. RNAcentral's name for it is "partial 16S ribosomal RNA". It matches the Rfam family "Bacterial small subunit ribosomal RNA", at positions 524 to 776 of the family's 1533-position model. The record is from RNAcentral.